GAUGGACUCAGCCCUCUUAUGAAGUAAAGGUUUCAGGAUACUGGACUCUUAUGAAGUGAAGGUUUCAGGAUACUGGACUUCGAUUUACUAAAAGGGUUAACCAAAGUUUCUCCUGAUGAAAAUUCCAUCCAUAUCUUACAAGAUGAAAGGUGCUGCUAUGGAUCAUGCAAUUUGGAUAUGUACUGACGCAAAGCUCCAUCUCUUGACUGUAUCAUAAUCACUGUGAGAUGAGGAUAACGUUUCAACAUUUCGACAUGUAACAUGAGUGUAUUGUAUUAGGUAAACCACAAGGCUGUCCAGUAGUUUUUUACUGUUCAGCAUUUUUAUUUUCUUAUGGUUUGAAAAUCGAUAUAGUUGUACAUG
RNAcentral lists this unclassified non-coding RNA (363 nucleotides) under Hevea brasiliensis (rubber tree). Lineage: Eukaryota; Viridiplantae; Streptophyta; Magnoliopsida; Malpighiales; Euphorbiaceae. The record is from RNAcentral.